Etheostoma spectabile (orangethroat darter) is the source of this 143-nucleotide long non-coding RNA. RefSeq lists it as uncharacterized. Lineage: Eukaryota; Metazoa; Chordata; Actinopteri; Perciformes; Percidae. The transcript has 4 exons. The record is from RefSeq and is a predicted model, not a curated record.
GUGUGCGUGUGUGUGUAAAGGCUGUUUUAUGGUUCUGCAGAGGCUCCACGCAGAGCUUUCGCUGUAGCCUAAGUAAGUGGCCUGAUGUUUAUACUUAGGUGCACGUCGUACUACGGCGUAGGGUCCGGCAUAGACACAAAGGG